UACGAAGGGGGCUAGCGUUGUUCGGAUUUACUGGGCGUAAAGCGCACGUAGGCGGAUCGAUCAGUCAGGGGUGAAAUCCCAGAGCUCAACUCUGGAACUGCCUUUGAUACUGUCGAUCUGGAGUAUGGAAGAGGCGAGUGGAAUUCCGAGUGUAGAGGUGAAAUUCGUAGAUAUUCGGAGGAACACCAGUGGCGAAGGCGGCUCACUGGUCCAUUACUGACGCUGAGGUGCGAAAGCGUGGGGAGCAAACAGG
RNAcentral lists this ribosomal RNA (253 nucleotides) under uncultured bacterium. RNAcentral describes it as "partial 16S ribosomal RNA". It matches the Rfam family "Bacterial small subunit ribosomal RNA", at positions 524 to 776 of the family's 1533-position model. The record is from RNAcentral.